CCAUCAUGCACAGCUUUAUCUCAACGACCUCUUCGUCUUUAUCAUAACGCACACGAUGAUAAUCAAACGAACUUGCCGAAGAUUCUGGGAAUUGCGAUUUUGAAUGACCGUUCUUUAUAAACCGUCAAACCUCGUGAUAGAAAUUGUUUUCUUUUGCUGCUCUCUGUUCUAAUUAUUCAGCCGUGCUAGUCUGCAUUCGUCUCCGGCCAACAUCACUGCUGCGACCAUUCUUCGUUUUCUGUUGUGACUAUCGCGACUAUCGCGCUGAACUCCAUCAUCACCGGUGUCGACUUUUGAUUCGCGAUCAGCCCAGGUUCGGAACUUUCGUGCUGCCGCCUUAGUACUCCGCCACUCGUGUUCCGUUCGGUUCAGUCCGAUUCACGCCACUGGAAGUUACUCGUGUUUCGCAGACCUUGUUUCACUCUCGGAUUUGUUUCGGUUCGACAUUUAAGGUAAUCAUGGGAAACGGGGAUGAGUGAGAGGAAAUGAAGUUUAAGAAGUUUUUGAAGUUUCCGUUUUUGGUGGAUUCGAGACUUUUGUUUCUUGGUUUCUAUCGUGUAUUGAAACUCUUUGGUUUUUGAUAUCUGUAAUAGUGACAUGCCAACCCGUUCUGGGUUGGGGUGUUACACAGGCCCUGGCCGGUGG
RNAcentral lists this long non-coding RNA (645 nucleotides) under Helianthus annuus (common sunflower). RNAcentral's name for it is "sRNA HanXRQr2_Chr16g0758471". The record is from RNAcentral. Lineage: Eukaryota; Viridiplantae; Streptophyta; Magnoliopsida; Asterales; Asteraceae.